CCUACGGGAGGCAGCAGUGAGGAAUAUUGGUCAAUGGGCGUAAGCCUGAACCAGCCAAGUCGCGUGAGGGAUGAAGGUUCUAUGGAUUGUAAACUUCUGUCAGCAGGGAAGAACGGUCACCGUGCGAAUCAGCAGUGAAUUGACGGUACCUGCAAAGGAAGCACCGGCUAACUCCGUGCCAGCAGCCGGGGUAAUACGGAGGGUGCGAUCGUUAAUCGGAAUUACUGGGCGUAAAGCGCUCGUAGGCGGUAGGUCAAGUCAAGGGUGAAAUCCCCGCGCUCAACGUGGGAACUGCCUUUGAAACUGGCAGACUGGAGUGUGUGAGAGGAUAGUGGAAUUCCAGGUGUAGGAGUGAAAUCCGUAGAUAUCUGGAGGAACAUCGGUGGCGAAGGCGACUAUCUGGCACAUAACUGACGCUGAGGAGCGAAAGCGUGGGUAGCAAACAGGAUUAGAUACCCGGGUAGUC
This 466-nucleotide ribosomal RNA is filed under the name uncultured bacterium. RNAcentral's name for it is "partial 16S ribosomal RNA". It matches the Rfam family "Bacterial small subunit ribosomal RNA", at positions 338 to 795 of the family's 1533-position model. The record is from RNAcentral.